CUUCGUCCCUGUCCUCCCCUCCCUCCUCCUUCAUCACCCCCUCACGCUGCUUUUGUCCCACCACCACCUCCACUGAACCUACCCCACCACAAGCACCACCACAGUGCCCCAGUCUCCCCCCCCUUACACACCUUCCCCCACCACUGUCACCAUGCAACCCCCCAACCAAUGACCUCUGUACACUUCUCCCCUAAACUUCCCACUUCCCUCCAUCACUUCCCUCCACCGUAGUCACUACCAGCUCUCCAAGACGCCCUCUAGCUUCUUACUUAACCCCCCCCCUUCUCAUGACUCCACAUCCUCACUCCACCACCCCCACCACCACCACCACCACCCACAGUCCCCGGCGCUCAGAUCGGCAGCAACACGCCCCACCAGCUUCACUCGAGCAGCCUCAUUCUCUUGUCCAACGAGAUGCAUUACAAGUUUAAUCCCUUCACGGGGCGUCUUAGCACUCCCUCCACGGUCGAGGUCCGCAAUAAAUACGCUCAGUAUGGCGAGGCGCCCACUCAAGUGUUCAUCCUCAACACCAAGCUCUCCGGCACGGACCAUCCGACCUACAGGGGCAAGUACGCGCCCUUGUCGCAGGCCCUGAAGAACAAGAUGAGGCUCUUCCAGGCAGCAAACGGCCUCCCAGUUCACAUCAAGGCGGGCCGGUGGACAAGGUACUCUUCGCCAUCACCGCCGGCGUGUGUCUGGUGGGCCUCGUGGACUGCUUCAAGGUCUACUACGAGCUCGCCUACCCCGCCCCGCCGUCCUCCGAGUAACAACACUGCAGCUUCGGACGCACCACACGAUGAAUCAUUAAAGCAGCGGCGAGAUUUUCAGUUCAUGCACGUUUAAUGAAGAUGAUUAUUUCAGAUUUAGAAUGAGCAAAAUGUCUGUGUGUGUGUGUGUGUGUGUGUGUGUGUGUGUGUGUGUGUGUGUGUGUGUGUGUGUGUGUGUGUGUGUGUGUGUGUGUGUGUGUGUGUGUGUGUGUGUGUGUGUGUGUGUGUGUGUGUGUGUGUGUGUGUGUGUGUGUGUUUAGUCAAAUAGAUUCUCUAAAAAGUAACUAUCAUUUUCAUUUUUUUUUUCAUUUAUAUAUUCAUCUAUUUGUUAUUUUCACCGGUAGUAACACCAUUUGAAUUUGCUCCCUUACAUCAUCUCUUUCUCGGUACUUGUUUAACUGAGAAAGUCAGGAAGGCACAGUGAAACAAACAUAAGCUGCAACAAACACGUCGUAAGUUUAACCUCUUCACAUUUUCUCUGGCAGUGAAUCACGUAACUAUUUCUCCUUUGCAUCACGUAUUUUUUUUUUCUUUUUUUCUUUUUUUUGUCGCUGCUUUUAAUGAGAGAAAGAAAGAGAGAGAGAGAGAGAGAGAAAACCAAGUAUAAAGCCAAACUACACAGCAAGCGCCGAUAGACUUCACCCUUAGAUCUCUCUUUAUCAUUUUAUUAUCAUAGUGUGUGUGUGUGUGUGUGUGUGUGUGUGUGUGUGUGUGUGUGUGUGUGUGUGUGUGUGUGUGUGUGUGUGUGUGUGUGUGUGUGUAUGAAUGCCGUACUAAUUUCAUUCAUGCAUCGCUGGAAAGAAAACGAUAUAAAGACAACAUAAACGGCGAAGCUUACAUGUUAAAAAAAAAAAAAAAAUAGAUAAAUAAAUAGUUAAAUAAAUGAAA
RNA transcript from Portunus trituberculatus (swimming crab), 1655 nucleotides. RefSeq lists it as uncharacterized. The transcript is spliced from 4 exons. The record is from RefSeq and is a predicted model, not a curated record. NCBI's taxonomy places the organism in Eukaryota, Metazoa, Arthropoda, Malacostraca, Decapoda, Portunidae.